RNAcentral lists this long non-coding RNA (424 nucleotides) under Trifolium pratense (red clover). RNAcentral's name for it is "long non-coding RNA (TPRA_LNC011091)". Lineage: Eukaryota; Viridiplantae; Streptophyta; Magnoliopsida; Fabales; Fabaceae. The record is from RNAcentral.
AAACCCAAUCAACCAAACCAAAAUUCACAAAAAACUAAAUAAAAAACUAAAAACAAAUCAAGUUCAUAAGAAACCACAAUUAAGCAAAAUCCCAAUUAACCAAACCAAAAUCCACACAAUUUCGAAAGAAAAAAAAAUCAAGUUCAUAAUAAACCACAAUUAAGCAAAAACCCAAUUAACCGAAACCAAAAUUCACACAAUUUGACAAAAAAACACGAAAUUAAAAUCAAGAACAACCAAUUAAUGAAGGAAAAACCAUAAUUAAAACAAGAAAGAAAGAAACGAAUACCUAUGCUAUGGUCUCUCUUCUGUUCUGUUCUGUUCACCCUGUCGCUGUCUCUUUCUCUCUCUAAAAUGAAGAGUGAGAGAGAGAUGAGAGUCAGAGAAGCGAAAAGGGGUCAAUGGAAUGUUGUGUUGUUUUGUG